UGACAUGAGUAGCGAUAAAGGGGGUGAAAGGCCCCCUCGCCGUAAGCCCAAGGUUUCCUACGCAACGUUCAUCGGCGUAGGGUGAGUCGGCCCCUAAGGCGAGGCAGAGAUGCGUAGCUGAUGGGAAGCAGGUUAAUAUUCCUGCACCGUCGUUAGAUGCGAUGGGGGGACGGAUCGCUGAAGGUUGUCCGGGUGUUGGAAGUCCCGGUCGCUGCAUUGGAGAAGGCACUCAGGCAAAUCCGGGUGCGCAAUUCAAGGGUGUGGCGCGAGCGGCUUAGGUCGCGAAGCAAUUGGAAGUGGUUCCAAGAAAAGCCUCUAAGCUUCAGUCUAACGAGACCGUACCGCAAACCGACACAGGUGGGCGAGAUGAGUAUUCUAAGGCGCUUGAGAGAACUCGGGAGAAGGAACUCGGCAAAUUGGUACCUAACUUCGGGAUAGGUACGCCCUUGUAGCUUGACUGGCCUGCGCCAGAAGGGUGAGAGGGUUGCAAUAAACUGGUGGCUGCGACUGUCUAAUAAAAACACAGCACUCUGCAAACACGAAAGUGGACGUAUAGGGUGUGACGCCUGCCCGGUGCCGGAAGAUUAAAUGAUGGGGUGCAAGCUCUUGAUUGAAGUCCCGGUAAACGGCGGCCGUAACCAUAACGUCCUAAGGUAGCGAAAUUCCUUGUCGGGUAAGUUCCGACCUGCACGAAUGGCGUAACGAUGGCCACACUGUCUCCUCCCGAGACUCAGCGAAGUUGAAGUGUUUGUGAUGAUGCAAUCUACCCGCGGCUAGACGGAAAGACCCCAUGAACCUUUACUGUAGCUUUGCAUUGGACUGUGAACCGAUCUGUGUAGGAUAGGUGGGAGGCUAUGAAAGCGGAACGCUAGUUUCGCUGGAGCCGUCCUUGAAAUACCACCCUGGUUUGUUUGCGGUUCUAACCUUGGCCCGUAAUCCGGGUCGGGGACAGUGCAUGGUAGGCAGUUUGACUGGGGCGGUCUCCUCCCAAAGUGUAACGGAGGAGUACGAAGGUACGCUAGGUACGGUCGGAAAUCGUGCUGAUAGUGCAAUGGCAUAAGCGUGCUUAACUGCGAGACCGACAAGUCGAGCAGGUGCGAAAGCAGGUCAUAGUGAUCCGGUGGUUCUGUAUGAAGGGCCAUCGCUCAACGGAUAAAAGGUACUCUGGGAUAACAGGCUGAUACCGCCCAAGAGUUCAUAUCGACGGCGGUGUUUGGCACCUCGAUGUCGGCUCAUCUCAUCCUGGGGCUGUAGCCGGUCCCAAGGGUAUGGCUGUUCGCCAUUUAAAGAGGUACGUGAGCUGGGUUUAAAACGUCGUGAGACAGUUUGGUCCCUAUCUGCCGUGGGCGUUGGAUAUUUGAAGGGGGCUGCUCCUAGUACGAGAGGACCGGAGUGGACGAACCUCUGGUGUACCGGUUGUCACGCCAGUGGCAUCGCCGGGUAGCUAUGUUCGGAAGAGAUAACCGCUGAAAGUAUCUAAGCGGGAAACUCGCCUUAAGAUGAUAUAUCCCUGGGGCUUCAAGCCCCUUGAAGGGUCGUUCGAGACCAGGACGUUGAUAGGUCAGGUGUGGAAGCGCAGUAAUGCGUUAAGCUAACUGAUACUAAUUGCCCGUAAGGCUCG
RNAcentral lists this ribosomal RNA (1621 nucleotides) under metagenome. RNAcentral's name for it is "bacterial LSU rRNA". It matches the Rfam family "Bacterial large subunit ribosomal RNA", at positions 1298 to 2925 of the family's 2925-position model. The record is from RNAcentral.